GCAUGGUGCUGGAGCAGCAGCUGAGAGCUACACCUGACUCACACAAGAAGCAGAGAGCUCACUGGAAAUAGCACAAGUCUUCUGAAACCUCCAGGUUGAAAAGAAGGUACCUUGUGAUCCCCAUAUUUCCGUUUGGCACCAUUUGGUCCAUUUACCACCUACAUGGGAUGGAGAAGGAGUUGACCCGGUUGAUAAUAAAAAAGAAGACAUGCUGCUGCUCCUGAUAACAACAGUAAUGUGGUUCCUGGUUUCAAUUAUGAUGAUGAUAACACACAUAAGUAAUAUAAUAUUCCUCAGACAAAGUCAUUUGAGAGAUUAAAGGAACCAAAACGUUGGACAAGAUGAGACCACAGAAAUGGUUUAAAAUAGAUGAAGAUUUUUGUAGUAGAAAUCUAAUUUUUUGGGCACUAGUGUGUAAGAUUAAUAAAUUUCAUGCUUUAUAUAGAACUUUUAGGCAUUUCCUAGCACCAGAAAAAAAUUGAUUCUUUUUUUCCCAAUAAUAUUAAAAAUAUAUCACAUAAAAAUAACAGUUUAGUCCAACGAAAGUGCCCAAGUAAAGCUGGUAGGUUCACAGUUGUCUCCUAUUCUGGAACAAGGGAAUUUCUUUCACUCCUAAUGUGAACCUUGUGUUUUUCUGAAUGGCUAAGCAGAGAUAUAUAACUGUUAAAU
Non-coding RNA from Peromyscus maniculatus bairdii (prairie deer mouse), 669 nucleotides. Lineage: Eukaryota; Metazoa; Chordata; Mammalia; Rodentia; Cricetidae. The record is from RefSeq and is a predicted model, not a curated record.